Molecule: ribosomal RNA, 497 nt
Filed under: uncultured bacterium
Lineage: Bacteria
Description: partial 16S ribosomal RNA
Rfam family: Bacterial small subunit ribosomal RNA
Source: RNAcentral
GAUGAACGCUGGCGGCGUGCCUAAUACAUGCAAGUCGAGCGAACAGAUGAGGAGCUUGCUCCUCUGACGUUAGCGGCGGACGGGUGAGUAACACGUGGAUAACCUACCUAUAAGACUGGGAUAACUUCGGGAAACCGGAGCUAAUACCGGAUAAUAUAUUGAACCGCAUGGUUCAAUAGUGAAAGACGGUUUUGCUGUCACUUAUAGAUGGAUCCGCGCCGCAUUAGCUAGUUGGUAAGGUAACGGCUUACCAAGGCAACGAUGCGUAGCCGACCUGAGAGGGUGAUCGGCCACACUGGAACUGAGACACGGUCCAGACUCCUACGGGAGGCAGCAGUAGGGAAUCUUCCGCAACGGGCGAAAGCCUGACGGAGCAACGCCGCGUGAGUGAUGAAGGUCUUCGGAUCGUAAAACUCUGUUAUUAGGGAAGAACAAAUGUGUAAGUAACUAUGCACGUCUUGACGGUACCUAAUCAGAAAGCCACGGCUAACUACGUG